AGUGGAAGUAGUGGUGACCUUUGAUAUUAACGUGUUUCUCAAUGAAUUUUGCUUUACCCUGUGUGCAUUUUGGUGAAGUAUACUAAAGGGUUGGUGGAUUUUGGUAUCUUUGUUGUUGGGAGGGAUCGAGAAGCUCAUGGAGCAGUUUUGAUGCAGGAAAUGAAUGCGGGGACAUGGUGCAUGGGCAGGAGCAUAGUUACUGGUCCGUUCCCUUUUUGGAACAGUGCUACUGGAAAGUAAUACAAGCAUUUUCUUUUGGGGAAGUUGCUCGAGUUUUGUAUUCUGAGAUUCUGUGCAAUGUCGCGUUGCUUUCCAUUUCCGCCACCAGGAUAUGAAAAGGUUAUGAGAGAUGAUGUGGACUUGCUAAAAAAGGAAAAGGACAGAGAGAAGAAGCAUAAGAAGGAGAAGAAGAACAAAGAAAAGAGAGAAGGUAAAGAUAAAGAAAAAAGGGAAAAAGAUAGAAGUGAUGGAAAGCUUAGGGAUAAGAAAGAGAAAAAGGAUAAGCACAGAGGCAAAAAGGAGAGGGACAGAGAUAAGGAUAAAGACAAAAUUAGUGCCCCAGAUGUGAAGAGACUUCCAGGGCAAUCUGAACGUAACAUUGGAGAUAAAACCCCAGAUGAGAAGAAAAUUUCUGGGAAAUCUGAGAUUAAUAGUGGAGAAAUAUUCAUCCAAAAGGGAAAGGAAAGAGACUUAGACAGAAAAAGUAUCUCAGAUGAAAAGAAAUUUUCUGGGCAAUUUUCAGGUUACAGUGAGAGGGCCUCUCAGAACAGCCAUCUCACUGAGCAACCAAAGGAGUCUAAUUUUGUACAUGAGGUGAGCAGGAGGACAAGAGAUGAAGUCGGAGGAAUCGGAAAACAGUUGGGUGAGAACAUCAUUAGUGCGGAUGCUAGAAAGGAUGAGCGAAUGGUCAGAUUUGUGGCUAACACUACUGGGACUUUGGCCGAUAGCAAGGAAAAGAACAAGAGGGGUGAUGA
RNAcentral lists this unclassified non-coding RNA (974 nucleotides) under Hevea brasiliensis (rubber tree). The record is from RNAcentral. Lineage: Eukaryota; Viridiplantae; Streptophyta; Magnoliopsida; Malpighiales; Euphorbiaceae.